UACCCGCAGCACAAGUGGUGGUCAUUAUUAUUGGGCCUAAAGCGUCCGUAGCUGGCCUGUUAGAUGCCUGGGUAAAUCGAUGCGCUCAACGUAUCGAACUCCGGGUAGACCGGCAGGCUUGGGACCGGGAGAGGCGUGAGCUACUCGGGGGGUAGGGGUAAAAUCCUGUAAUCCUCCGGGGAGGACCAGUGGCGAAGGCGUCACGCUAGAACGGCUCCGGCAGUGAGGGACGAAGCCCUGGGGCGCAAACCGG
RNAcentral lists this ribosomal RNA (253 nucleotides) under uncultured bacterium. RNAcentral describes it as "partial 16S ribosomal RNA". It matches the Rfam family "Archaeal small subunit ribosomal RNA", at positions 474 to 727 of the family's 1478-position model. The record is from RNAcentral.